Molecule: ribosomal RNA, 473 nt
Filed under: Amphora lativentralis
Lineage: Eukaryota; Bacillariophyta; Bacillariophyceae; Surirellales; Surirellaceae
Description: eukaryotic LSU rRNA
Rfam family: Eukaryotic large subunit ribosomal RNA
Source: RNAcentral
GCGGAGGAAAAGAAACUAACCAGGAUUCCCCCAGUAACGGCGAGUGAAGUGGGAAGAGCUCACAGUGUGAAUCUAUGAUGGAAUUGUGGUCUGUAGUCAUGUGCAUCAUUUAGAUUGGACCAAGUCCCUUGGAACAGGGCAGCAGAGAGGGUGAAACUCCCGUCNGUCUAGUCUAUCAAGCAUGUGUCAAUGAGUCGAGUUGUUUGGGAGUGCAGCUCAAAGUUGAUGGUAAAUUCCAUCAAAAGCUGAAUAUUGGUGGCAGACCGAUAGCGUACAAGUACCGUGAGGGAAAGAUGCAAAGCCGCGCGAAAGCGCUGUUAAAGAGUACCUGAAAUUGCUGAAAAGGAAGCGAAGGAAACCAGUGCCAGCAUGGUCAUAUUUCCUCCUCUGCUUGCAGUUGAGGCGCUGUGUCCAGCCUUGUCAUUGUUCUUUGUGUUGAUAGGAAUUGCGCUUGGGGAGUUGACCCUUGUGGU